Molecule: long non-coding RNA, 1089 nt
Organism: Ictalurus punctatus (channel catfish)
Lineage: Eukaryota; Metazoa; Chordata; Actinopteri; Siluriformes; Ictaluridae
Source: Ensembl
GACGAGACUUCCUCACAGGCUCCAUGCUGCACAAACAUCAUUACUUUUAUGGCCACCGGUUUUGUUGUGCUGUGAUGGAUCACACCUUUUCUUCUUUUUUCUUACCGUUAAAAACCGAUGUUUACUCACUACCACUGUCUGAGGUGACACACUAAUCACAACACACACACACACACACACACACACACACACACAGUCUACCUCUACCUCACGAUUGAUCCUUUACUGGCCUCAGAUCCCUUAACAGUGUCGAGGAGGAGACGAGAAAAGAGGGGAGUUAAAGAGAAGGGGUAAAAUGUGGAUUUAACAAAAGGAGAGAAGAUAAACUGGGAGAAAAGGAGAAGAAGAAAGAACUGCGAAUAAGAGAGGGGAAAAAGAGGAAAGUAACCAGGAACGCGACUGAAAGAAAACCAGACUGAAGCGACCGAAAGGCAGAGUGAGACGGAGAGAAAGAAUGAAAGAUUUUUUUUUAGAAAAUGAGGGAUUUAAGAAAGGGGGGAGAAAAGAGGGGGGAGAACAGAAUAAAAGGAAAACAGAAAGAAAUGAAUGAAUGAAAAGAAAGAAAGAAAACGAGUGUGGAUGGAUAAAAUACAGAAUCGAAGGAAAAGAGAGAGAAAGAAUGUAAAUGAGAGAAUGAAUAAGAAAAGAAAGAGAGAAAGAGAGAGAGAAAAGAGAAAGAAAACAAAUCAAAGAGAAAAUCUCCCUGCCAGGUGAUGAUGUCAUAAUGGUCUUUACAGCAGCCGACCAAUCAGCAGCUUCACUUCAAUUCAAUACCUAUCGCUCUGGUAAGCGGGAAAAUCCUAAUUCAUUUCAUCUUUCGCAACUUUGCUGAGAGAGAGUGAGAGACAUGGGCUCUUUUUGCAUCUCCAACACACACACACACACACACACACACACACACACACACACACACACACACACAAGGCUACAAAUAGCUAACCAAGGUGACUCUAUCGAUCAGCAGAGGGAAAACAAGGGAGUGGAAGAGUAAAUGAGUGGAGUAAAGAAAACACACUGUGUGUGUCUGUGUGUGUGUGUGUGUGUGUGUGUGUGUGUGUGUGUGUGCUGUAUUGUAACGAAUAGCAGUCU